RNAcentral lists this long non-coding RNA (2972 nucleotides) under Canis lupus familiaris (dog). RNAcentral's name for it is "lncRNA (ENSCAFG00000053433.1)". Lineage: Eukaryota; Metazoa; Chordata; Mammalia; Carnivora; Canidae. The record is from RNAcentral.
UCUUUGUUCUAGCUUGGUUGAACUAAAUUUGAUUUUUAUUAUUGAUAGCUGGGAUGCAGCAAGCAUUACAUACAGGCACAUCUCUGUUUAUUAUAUGGCUAGAAAUUCACAUCAAUACAAGAAUCAUGGUAAGUUCUAGUUCACACAUUCUUAUCAAAAAAGAAGAAUAUAUCAGGAGUGUCUUAGCCCCUUAGGGCUGCUGAAACAAAAAUAUCAUAGACUGAGUAGCUUAAAAAACAAAAAAAAAAUAUUUCUUAUAAAUAAGUCAAAGAUCAAGGCAGAUUCAGUGUCUGGUGAGAGCCCAACUUUUCACUAGUGAUCAUCUUUUCGCUGAGAUCUCACGUGAUAGAAGAGGCAAGGAGGCUCUCUGGGGUCUCUUAUAAAAGCACUAAUUCCAUUUGUGAGGGCCCCACCUUCACAACCUAAUACCACUAUGCAACCCAUUCAUAGGUUUUCAACUUAUGAAUUUGGGGUCGAGGGAUACAAAAAUUCAAUCCAUAGCAAGUGGCUUUAUGUAUGGUGACUUAUGGUUCAUUACUGAGUGUAUUCCUGAUAGAAAAGAACUUCCAUUUUCAUCAGUCAUUGAUGAGGUUAGUUUAUAGAUAUCAAGCCUCUUAUCUCCUUCAUCACUCACCUAUUUCCGACACCAUGUCCAGUAAACUAUGUUGAUACUGUGAUAGGGCUUCUAGGCUCUGCAUCUUUGUGUCCUGAUGCCAAGUGAAUCAGCACUGUGGGCAGUAGAAAUAUUCUGGGACAGUUUCUACACUGGGAUGGUUCUCAGUAACUGAAGUGAACAUGGAAGUGACUGAAGUCCACAGACGUACAUCUCAGGAAACCCAAACGAAAUGUUGUCCCAAUCCAUUCCCUCAACUAGAUCUCCAAAAUACAGGUGGCCAUUCCGGACACACUGGCUUCUAACUGGGGAAGUAUCAAGGGGAAGGUGGAGUAGAUGAAGACAGUGGUCUUAACCAAUUGCAUUUAAAUAUCUUACUCUUCCAAACUUUACAAAACAGAUGGCUAUGUGAAUAUACGACCUGGGCCCUACCCAAGGUCUUGGAAGGGGCUCAUACAAAUGAGGGACCCUAAAGCUCAAAGCUCAUUAGCAUCAUGGUAAAUUUGCAGCUAGUUGGAAUGACAAGUACUCCACAAAUUGUUUUUCUUUUCCUCCCAUGCAAUUUUUUUCUAGGACGAUGCCCAGCACCCAGUACACAAGUGCCCUUGCAGGGUAUACUCAACCAACACCUGACAAACACUGUAUUUUACUUCCCAUCCUCACUCAACUUGACUUAACACUACUUUGGUGGGUUUUUACUUGAAGUAGGUUUAAUUUUUUUUUUUAACAAAUUUAUUCAACAGGGUUUCUUAAAAUGUAGUCUACAAAAACCAUACUUCUAAGAAAGAAAGAGCUGGAGGUUGGCAUUUGAAAUCCAGAUAAAUUACACAGGAACAAUGCCCUCAUACUAAAUUCAACUAACACUUCAUUUACAUCAAUAUUGUACAGAGGGACACAAAGAAAUUUAUUAUGAAUCUUGGGCCCAAUCCAACCUCUUCACUAAAGCGUGUUGAGUUUGGAUAAUUUUGUUCCUCCACCAAAUAAAAGAGAAAAGAAUAAAAUAGAACAAACAUAAAUCCCACCUCCAAGAAUUUGUUAUAUUUACUUUUUAAACAGUUCUUUCCCAAGAGAUAAAAUAUGUUUCCAUAGCCUCUUCUACACAGAGAGCGGAAGUAGAAGGCAGUCUUUCCAGAGGCUUGGAUACUCUUUGUUCUAGCGAGAUUCUAAUAAAUGCACCCAAUUUAUAAGUGAUACUUUGAGGACUAUCUCACAGAAUUUAAAGCAAUCCAGGAUUUAAUAGCAAUCAACAGAAUCAAGGCAAAGUGAAACUAUUACGGCUGAACACACUGCAAAAGUGGAGUUUGAAUUGAUGCCGCAUAUUAUUCAUUUUGACAAGUGCAAACUCACAUUGAAGAUAGCAGGAGAAGAGACGGGGACUGCAAGGAAGGGUAAUACAAAUGUAAUAUUAACACGGAAACAAAUCUGACUUUAAACCUGGCGUGCCUCCUGGUUAGCAAGAAUAAUAAUAAGGCCUUGAAUUCUCAUUGUUUUUGCAUCGAAAGUAAUCAAAGAAGCCUCAAAUUUUAAUGGGAGAUAUGGUGGUCAGUCCACAUCAGUUAUAUCUUCAAAGGAAACCCGUUACCAAAUUAAAUGCGUGCAUUUGGGGGAUGGAUGCAGAUAGGGAACAUCAAAAAUGCACUCAGACAUUGAGAAAUACGGAAAGGAGAGCUUCAGGGCUCUCCCCACAAAGGCCAGCCAUCAGAGACUGACCCGAUACACAUAGGGUGGUGAGGCACUGAGGACACUCACAGCAAGGCUCUCAGCUCCUCCUUGGAACUAACUGGGGGUUCAAAGCUGUUCAAGACAUCUCAGCAAAUUGCCUGUGACUGGUGGGCUCCAAUGGACUUUCUCAAACACUCCAAUGGCACCAAGAACGCAAAGAUGCAAUCGGGCCUCCAAUUGCACAUGGCGAACACCAAGCCCAAGGACAUGUGCUGAGCCCACCCACCACACGCAUAUCCUGUGCAGAGUGUACUGCGUUUGUCUCACUGGCUGUCAUAGAAAUCUUAGGGGUGAGCCCUACUGUUCUUCUCAUUUUACUUGUGAGGAAACAGAAGCAAGCACAAAGCGGUUGAGGAAUUUGAGAGGGCCAGUCACAUCUAGGUGAUGCCAACACAAUGGCAGAAAAGAAUCUUAGUUAAAAGACAUGAAAUCGGUCUUUGAAAAUGUUUGUAUUUUGUUUGCCCACUGGGAUCCACGGGCUUUUCCAAGACUCACAGACACAGUCCAAUGUCCUGGGUUCUGAUUUCCCACAGAGCUCGACCUCUCUCUCUUCACUCUGCUCAGGGACUGCUGAGUAAGAUACUUAUAAAUACACUUGCUAACCUAAUGUCCCAAACUACACCAAAUGAAAAAAAAA